RNA transcript from Cryptomeria japonica (Japanese cedar), 2191 nucleotides. RefSeq lists it as uncharacterized. Lineage: Eukaryota; Viridiplantae; Streptophyta; Pinopsida; Cupressales; Cupressaceae. The transcript is spliced from 8 exons. The record is from RefSeq and is a predicted model, not a curated record.
CAGGGCUUUGUGCGGUUUUCAACAAGAGAGAACGCACACCUCCAGAGGCUGCAGGGCCCGUCAAAGCAGAGUCCUGACGGUUGCUUCAAAUAAAUGGUGAGCCAGAGAAGACCUGCAGAGAUUAGAUCUAUGGAAAACCGAGUACGAGUGCGAGAAACAAAGCAUGCAAACAUAUGGCUCGUAAGUUUUCAUUUUGGGCAUGCAAAACUACUAUGUGGGGGCAGGUUCUGAUUGAGAAAAGGAAUACAUUGUUCUGGGCAAUCUCGAAGAGGAUUAAAGAGGACCACAGACAUUUUAGGUUCUGUAUUGUUUCCAAUAUUUCCAAUCUAAAGUUCAUCAACACAGAGCAUGACUGCAACAUACAGAGCAUAGCAGAGCAAGCCUAGAGAAUCCAAAGCAUAGUGUUGCACAAAUUGGAACUGCUACAACCACCAACAAAAUUAAAACAUUUUGCUAUCAGCCAAAGUUAUUGCACAGGAUUAGGUGGAUAAUCCAACACCCAAAGAUCAAUUGCUGUCAAACAAACAAAAAUCACAAGAAAAUAUCAUUCAAACAGUUCCUGAUGCCCAAGAAGCCCCUCUAGACAACGGAAGUUGUUCUACUGACAAACCUCAGCCAAAGAAAUUAAAAUUGCAACCAUUACAUAUAUCAAGCAUCAUUGAAAUAUGUACAACGCAAUUUGUUGUCGCAUUUGAAGGCAAUGUUCUUGUAACUUACGGCCCAGGUUGUAACAAGAACCCUGCAGGCCAAAUAAAAGCAUCGAUUGUGCAUGUGGACAUGGUUGACAGUCAUGGUCAAAUGACUAUAACAGUAAAUAUCAACAACAAGUUGAUUGAUAUGUUCCUUUCACAACUAUUGCCUGGUGCUAGUGUUCGUCUAACAAACUUCAUAAUAAAAAAGAAAAACCAAUACGAAAGAGGUGAUGUUGAUUCUUGUCUCUAGUUAACUGUAAAAACAACAAUUGAAUGCAUUGGAAAAGUCUGCAAACAACGCAAGCUAACACCAGACAGAACGAUAGCACAACUCAUCGAUUCACCUAACACUUACUCAAUUGGUUCAUUGGCUGUUCUUGUCGCUGGUUAUACUGAGGCACCAACAUAAUAUCAAUUACUAGUUAAAGAUGGUGAAUCCACCUCUGACACAGCCACUCUCACAGUGCCAAAAAACCACUUGGAUGUCUAUGCCACUCUACAACAACUUCUUCCUACAACAACAUCGCCCCUCUUAUUAUUCAAGAACAUUGUAUGCAAUGGCGCCCACGGAACACACCUGUUAAAGUCAACGCUGCCAACUUUUGUUGAUGAACUCAAUGAUGACUGCAGUAAAGCUUCUCUACAAAAUCUGGCUUCAUCCAACAUUCAGGUCACUGGAACCCUCAAGACCAAAAACGCCCACCUUCCUCCCUACCAGCCCCUCUGUUCCAUUUGCCACUACAUUGUUUGUUUACUUCCCACUGCCACUGACAACUCAACCCAAUGUCUCACUUGUGCUAGUUAACCCCAUUCACGUACGAACCUUACUUGCAAUGCACAAUAGAAAUUGCAACUAGUACCAUUGAUUGUAACUUACACACCACACUCUUGCAACAAAACUUUCCUCAGCUUGCCAAAAUCCCAUUUGAAAAUUACAAGAAAGACAUGUCAACAGUUGUUUUCCUUAUGCGCAAAUUCCAAAUGGAUGCAACAUUCACAAUUGCAAUGAACAAUUCUAUUAUUCACAUUGCUAAGGACGACAAUGAAGAAACACUCUCAAACCCACCUUUUUUAAUAUCAUUAUUUGUAAAAUAACAUGGCUUAAGAAUAAUAUUUCGCAUCUAAAUAAAUUGUUGUGCAAAAAUUGCAGGGCCUAUGAGAUUAGAUUGCCAUAUGAAAGAACAUUUUGCCCUGCCAAAUGCUUUUUUGUCAAGGUCAGAGAAGCUCAGGACAACUAGAAAAGUCUACAAAGAAAUUGAAUCAGAAUACCACUAUACUAGUUUUGUAUGCUGAUGAAAACAAUCACAAAACCUGCAGAGAAGCUCAUGACAACUAGAAAAGUCUACAAAGAAAUUGACUCAGAAUACCACUAUACUAGUUUUGUACACAGUCAAUUGACAAACAAUGUUUAGGACAAAAACUUUCAAUUUAAAUACCAUGUAAUCAAUUAAAAAAUGCUCUAGAAACAUAUGUCAAUAUAUAUACAUAUUUUCUCCUUU